UGGGGAAUUUUGGACAAUGGGGGCAACCCUGAUCCAGCAAUGCCGCGUGUGUGAAGAAGGCCUUCGGGUUGUAAAGCACUUUUGUCCGGGAAGAAAUCCCCUGCCCUAAUACGGCGGGGGGAUGACGGUACCGGAAGAAUAAGCACCGGCUAACUACGUGCCAGCAGCCGCGGUAAUACGUAGGGUGCGAGCGUUAAUCGGAAUUACUGGGCGUAAAGCGUGCGCAGGCGGUGAUGUAAGACCGAUGUGAAAUCCCCGGGCUCAACCUGGGGAACUGCAUUGGUGACUGCAUUGCUCGAGUAUGGCAGAGGGGGGUGGAAUUCCACGUGUAGCAGUGAAAUGCGUAGAGAUGUGGAGGAACACCGAUGGCGAAGGCAGCCCCCUGGGCCAAUACUGACGCUCAUGCACGAAAGCGUGGGGAGCAAACAGGAUUAGAUACCCUGGUAGUCCACGCCCUAAACGAUGUCCAACUGGUUGUCGGGCCUUCAUUGGCUUGGUAACGUAGCUAACGCGUGAAGUUGACCGCCU
RNAcentral lists this ribosomal RNA (528 nucleotides) under uncultured bacterium. RNAcentral's name for it is "partial 16S ribosomal RNA". It matches the Rfam family "Bacterial small subunit ribosomal RNA", at positions 355 to 874 of the family's 1533-position model. The record is from RNAcentral.